GUCUCUCCUACUUAGGGUGACCAAACCCUUAAUACAUUUAUACAAACAAAACUGCUUUAAAAACGGAGAAGCAUCGAUGGAGGCGUUGGAGCUGGAGCUGGAAGAAGUGGAGUCCCAGAUCCGCGCGCUGGUGGUAAGACGGUCGCGGCUACGGGAACGGCUUCUAGCCGUACCUCAUGCUAAGGCCGUCUCAUCACCUAAGGUACGUGGAAAUUACAACCACAUCAUUCCCUCUACCUCAACCCCGCGUCCUUCUCUGUGCUUCCCAGAUCCCGGGGCAGAACGUCUCCGCCUGUGUUCGAGAUCUCCACGGAGAACCGCUUCUCCCCGCUCCGCGAGUCGGGUCCGAUGUGGCCAUCAUCGGUGACUCGAUCGUUCGUCACGUCCGUGCCGCCUCCUCAAAAGG
This 406-nucleotide long non-coding RNA is filed under the name Danio rerio (zebrafish). RNAcentral describes it as "si:cabz01070527.3 (ENSDARG00000104600.3)". Lineage: Eukaryota; Metazoa; Chordata; Actinopteri; Cypriniformes; Danionidae. The record is from RNAcentral.